This 715-nucleotide ribosomal RNA is filed under the name uncultured fungus. Its description in RNAcentral is "partial 18S ribosomal RNA". It matches the Rfam family "Eukaryotic small subunit ribosomal RNA", at positions 203 to 772 of the family's 1831-position model. The record is from RNAcentral. Lineage: Eukaryota; Fungi.
CCUUGGUGAUUAUAAAAAACCAAUGCCCUUCGGGGCUAACUGGUGAUUCAUAAUAACUUAACGAAUCGCAUGGCCUUGCGCCGGCGAUGGUUCAUUCAAAUUUCUGCCCUAUCAACUUUCGAUGGUAGGAUAGUGGCCUACCAUGGUGGCAACGGGUAACGGGGAAUUAGGGUUCGAUUCCGGAGAGGGAGCCUGAGAAACGGCUACCACAUCCAAGGAAGGCAGCAGGCGCGCAAAUUACCCAAUCCCGACACGGGGAGGUAGUGACAAUAAAUACUGAUACGGGGCUCUUUUGGGUCUCGUAAUUGGAAUGAGUACAAUCUAAAUCCCUUAACGAGGAACAAUUGGAGGGCAAGUCUGGUGCCAGCAGCCGCGGUAAUUCCAGCUCCAAUAGCGUAUAUUAAAGUUGUUGCAGUUAAAAAGCUCGUAGUUGAACCUUGGGUCUGGCUGGCCGGUCCGCCUCACCGCGAGUACUGGUCCGGCUGGACCUUUCCUUCUGGUUUUAUCUCAUGGCCUUCACUGGCUGUGGGGGGAACCGGGGACUUUUACAAGUUUAUCCCCCCCCCUUACAAAAGGGAGGCCUGCUAACCCUUGAACCUCCCCCCCCCGGGGAUAUAAAAAAAUUAUGCAUUGCGGCGGCCUGGCGGGGGGGGGUGCUCAUUUUUCUCUCUUUAUUUGGGGGGAGGCGCCCCGCGCCCGGGGCAAAAAUAAAAAA